Molecule: ribosomal RNA, 473 nt
Filed under: uncultured bacterium
Lineage: Bacteria
Description: bacterial SSU rRNA
Rfam family: Bacterial small subunit ribosomal RNA
Source: RNAcentral
UGGCUCAGGACGAACGCUGGCGGCGUGCCUAACACAUGCAAGUCGAACGGGGUUACGAGAGCUUGCUCUUGUGACUUAGUGGCGAACGGGUGAGUAACGCGUGAGAAACCUGCCUCUCAGUGGGGGACAACAGUUGGAAACGACUGCUAAUACCGCAUAACACUUUAGUACCGCAUGGUACAGAAGUCAAAGCUUUAUGUGCUGAAAGAUGGUCUCGCGUCUGAUUAGCUAGAUGGCGGGGUAACGGCCCACCAUGGCGACGAUCAGUAGCCGAGCUGAGAGGCUCAACGGCCACAUUGGGACUGAGAUACGGCCCAGACUCCUACGGGAGGCAGCAGUCGGGAAUAUUGCGCAAUGGAGGAAACUCUGACGCAGUGACGCCGCGUAUAGGAAGAAGGUUUUCGGAUUGUAAACUAUUGUCAUUAGGGAAGAAAAAGACUGUACCUAAGGAGGAAGCCCCGGCUAACUAUGUG